Molecule: ribosomal RNA, 740 nt
Filed under: uncultured Escherichia sp.
Lineage: Bacteria; Pseudomonadati; Pseudomonadota; Gammaproteobacteria; Enterobacterales; Enterobacteriaceae
Description: bacterial SSU rRNA
Rfam family: Bacterial small subunit ribosomal RNA
Source: RNAcentral
GGCCUAACACAUGCAAGUCGAACGGUAACAGGAAGCAGCUUGCUGCUUUGCUGACGAGUGGCGGACGGGUGAGUAAUGUCUGGGAAACUGCCUGAUGGAGGGGGAUAACUACUGGAAACGGUAGCUAAUACCGCAUAACGUCGCAAGACCAAAGAGGGGGACCUUAGGGCCUCUUGCCAUCGGAUGUGCCCAGAUGGGAUUAGCUAGUAGGUGGGGUAACGGCUCACCUAGGCGACGAUCCCUAGCUGGUCUGAGAGGAUGAGCAGCCACACUGGAACUGAGACACGGUCCAGACUCCUACGGGAGGCAGCAGUGGGGAAUAUUGCACAAUGGGCGCAAGCCUGAUGCAGCCAUGCCGCGUGUAUGAAGAAGGCCUUCGGGUUGUAAAGUACUUUCAGCGGGGAGGAAGGGAGUAAAGUUAAUACCUUUGCUCAUUGACGUUACCCGCAGAAGAAGCACCGGCUAACUCCGUGCCAGCAGCCGCGGUAAUACGGAGGGUGCAAGCGUUAAUCGGAAUUACUGGGCGUAAAGCGCACGCAGGCGGUUUGUUAAGUCAGAUGUGAAAUCCCCGGGCUCAACCUGGGAACUGCAUCUGAUACUGGCAAGCUUGAGUCUCGUAGAGGGGGGUAGAAUUCCAGGUGUAGCGGUGAAAUGCGUAGAGAUCUGGAGGAAUACCGGUGGCGAAGGCGGCCCCCUGGACGAAGACUGACGCUCAGGUGCGAAAGCGUGGGGAGCAAACA